RNAcentral lists this long non-coding RNA (323 nucleotides) under Panax ginseng (ginseng). RNAcentral describes it as "long non-coding RNA (PGIN_LNC004557)". The record is from RNAcentral. Lineage: Eukaryota; Viridiplantae; Streptophyta; Magnoliopsida; Apiales; Araliaceae.
GGAGAUGUACUAGGAUGAAUGAAACCAAUGUUGAACAACUCCUGUAGUUGGGUUUUUAACUCCUGAAGUUCAAUAGGAGCCAUUCAUUAUGGGGUUUUGGAAAUGGGUUUUGUAUCGGGUUCAAGGUCAAUAAAAAAUUUGAUUUCACCAUCUGGGGGUAGGCUAGAAAGUUCUUCAGGAAAUACGUCAAGAAAUUCAUUAACAACAUAAAUAUAAUUUAAAUCUGAUGUAUUUUGUUUAAAUCCAUGACAUGGGCUAAGAAAGCUUGAAAUCCAUUUUUUAAUAAACGAAUGGCUUUAUGGCUUGAUAUGACAGUGAUUGAC